RNAcentral lists this ribosomal RNA (472 nucleotides) under uncultured bacterium. RNAcentral's name for it is "partial 16S ribosomal RNA". The record is from RNAcentral.
GUAGUUAGCCGGGGCUUCCUCCUCAGGUACCGUCAUUUGUUUCGUCCCUGAGGACAGAAGUUUACAAUCCGAAAACCUUCUUCCUUCACGCGGCGUUGCUGGGUCAGGGUUUCCCCCAUUGCCCAAUAUUCCCCACUGCUGCCUCCCGUAGGAGUCUGGGCCGUGUCUCAGUCCCAGUGUGGCCGUUCAGCCUCUCAGCUCGGCUACCCAUCGUCGGCUUGGUGCGCCGUUACCGCACCAACUACCUAAUGGGACGCGAGUCCAUCUUAAAGCGCCUCAGCUUUGACCCCUUUGCCAUGCGGCAUUGUGGUCUUAUGCGGUAUUAGCAACGAUUUCUCGUUGUUAUCCCCCUCUUCAAGGCAGGUUACUCACGCGUUACUCACCCGUCCGCCACUAAUCCCGAAGGAUCCGUUCGACUUGCAUGUGUUAAGCCUGCCGCCAGCGUUCGCUCUGAGCCAGAAUCAAACUCUGA